AGAGCGAACGCUGGCGGCAGGCUUAACACAUGCAAGUCGAGCGGGCGUAGCAAUACGUCAGCGGCAGACGGGUGAGUAACGCGUGGGAACAUACCUUUUGGUUCGGAACAACACAGGGAAACUUGUGCUAAUACCGGAUAAGCCCUUACGGGGAAAGAUUUAUCGCCGAAAGAUUGACCCGCGUCUGAUUAGCUAGUUGGUGAGGUAACGGCUCACCAAGGCGACGAUCAGUAGCUGGUCUGAGAGGAUGAUCAGCCACAUUGGGACUGAGACACGGCCCAAACUCCUACGGGAGGCAGCAGUGGGAAUAUUGGACAAUGGGCGCAAGCCUGAUCCAGCCAUGCCGCGUGAGUGAUGAAGGCCCUAGGGUUGUAAAGCUCUUUGUGCGGGAAGAUAAUGACGGUACCGCAAGAAUAAGCCCCGGCUAACGUUCGUGCCAGCAGCCGC
This 447-nucleotide ribosomal RNA is filed under the name uncultured bacterium. RNAcentral's name for it is "SSU rRNA". It matches the Rfam family "Bacterial small subunit ribosomal RNA", at positions 26 to 518 of the family's 1533-position model. The record is from RNAcentral.